RNAcentral lists this ribosomal RNA (880 nucleotides) under uncultured bacterium. Its description in RNAcentral is "bacterial SSU rRNA". It matches the Rfam family "Bacterial small subunit ribosomal RNA", at positions 9 to 870 of the family's 1533-position model. The record is from RNAcentral.
GAGUUUGAUCCUGGCUCAGAAUCAACGCUGGCGGCGUGCCUAACACAUGCAAGUCGAACGAGAAAGGGUGGUCCCGCGCAAGCGGGAUUGCCUGAGUAAAGUGGCGUACGGGUGAGUAACACGUAGCUAACCUGCCUUCUAGUGGGGGACAACCUGGGGAAACCCGGGCUAAUACCGCAUAACAUCGCGUUUUCACAAGGAAAUGUGAUCAAAGGCCCGCAAGGGUCACUGGAGGAGGGGGCUGCGGCCGAUUAGCUAGUUGGCAGGGUAAUGGCCUACCAAGGCGAUGAUCGGUAGCCGGCCUGAGAGGGCGCACGGCCACACUGGCACUGAAACACGGGCCAGACUCCUACGGGAGGCAGCAGUGGGGAAUUUUGCACAAUGCCCGAAAGGGUGAUGCAGCAACGCCGCGUGAGGGAUGAAGGCCUUCGGGUCGUAAACCUCUUUCGACCGUGACAAAUGGGCUCGUGAAGAACGAGUUCAGAUGGUAGCGGUGGAAGAAGCCCCGGCUAACUACGUGCCAGCAGCCGCGGUAAUACGUAGGGGGCUAGCGUUGUUCGGAAUUACUGGGCGUAAAGGGCGUGUAGGCGGUGCGGUAAGUCGGGCGUGAAAUCCUCGGGCUUAACCCGGGGUGGUCGUUCGAAACUGCCGUGCUAGGGUGCGGGAGAGGGAAGUGGAGUUCCCGGUGUAGCGGUGAAAUGCGUAGAUAUCGGGAGGAACAUCUGUGGCGAAGGCGGCUUCCUGGACCGUUACCGACGCUGAGGCGCGAAAGCUAGGGGAGCAAACAGGAUUAGAUACCCUGGUAGUCCUAGCCCUAAACGAUGAGCACUGGGUGUGACCCUGUACGGGGUCGUGCCGAAGCUAACGCAUUAAGUGCUCC